GAAGCGCGCCAGACCGCCGCUGGUGCAAUCUGGGAAACCAGGCACUGGAGGAACGUCCGGACUGCACAGGACAGCGUAGCAGCUAACGGCUGCCCACCGUGAGGUGAGGAUCAGAGCAACAGAGACGAGCCGAUUGAGUUCGGGUGAAACGGGCAAUCUCUACGCGCAGCAAUACCAAGUAGGCCAGCGUUGAUGUGGUUCCGCAGAGCUGGCGGGUAGGUAGCACCGAGCCGUGGUGGCGACACCCGGCCCAGAGUAAUGGCGGUCACGCCCGGGCAACCGGGUGCACAGAAUCCGGCUUAUCGGCGCGCUUCACAC
This 318-nucleotide RNase P RNA is filed under the name Acidovorax sp. SRB_14. Its description in RNAcentral is "RNase P RNA component class A". It matches the Rfam family "Bacterial RNase P class A". From Rfam's summary of the family: Ribonuclease P (RNase P) is a ubiquitous endoribonuclease, found in archaea, bacteria and eukarya as well as chloroplasts and mitochondria. Its best characterised activity is the generation of mature 5'-ends of tRNAs by cleaving the 5'-leader elements of precursor-tRNAs. Cellular RNase Ps are ribonucleoproteins. RNAcentral also lists the same sequence under 2 other names. Lineage: Bacteria; Pseudomonadati; Pseudomonadota; Betaproteobacteria; Burkholderiales; Comamonadaceae. The record is from RNAcentral.